RNAcentral lists this ribosomal RNA (424 nucleotides) under uncultured bacterium. RNAcentral's name for it is "bacterial SSU rRNA". It matches the Rfam family "Bacterial small subunit ribosomal RNA", at positions 954 to 1380 of the family's 1533-position model. The record is from RNAcentral.
AUGGGAACGCGAAGAACCUUACCUAGACUUGACAUCUCCUGAAUAGUGUAGAGAUACAUGAAGCCCUUCGGGGCAGGAAGACAGGUGGUGCAUGGUUGUCGUCAGCUCGUGUCGUGAGAUGUUGGGUUAAGUCCCGCAACGAGCGCAACCCUUAUUACUAGUUGCUAACAUUAAGUUGAGCACUCUAGUGAGACUGCCCGGGUUAACCGGGAGGAAGGUGGGGGAUGACGUCAAAUCAUCAUGCCCCUUAUGUCUAGGGCUACACACGUGCUACAAUGGUGGGAACAAAGAGAUGCAAUACCGCAAGUGGAGCUAAACUCAAAACCCCAUCCCAGUUCGGAUUGUAGGCUGAAACUCGCCUACAUGAAGCUGGAGUUGCUAGUAAUCGCGAAUCAGAAUGUCGCGGUGAAUACGUUCCCGGGUC